AUUCAAAUAUCACAUUACAUUUGUAAAUUGCGGCUGAGGUAAGCGGCUUUUGCUUACAAACUGACAUAUCGGGUUAACAGUUGAACAACUCAAGUAACCAGCCAAUAAAGCAGGCCCAGCGCCAUGCAGUUCGAAAAAAAAAACGAAAUAAAUAAACUGGAACACUUUUUAUAUCAUCUUUGUCAAUUUACAUAUUCAUAAUUACGUUUUUCUGUGGCAAUAUACAUACAUAUGUAUGCACAUACAAAUGUGUUGGACAAAAUGUUUCUCGUUUUCUGGUGUUCAAUGUGAGUGUUGUAAUUAAAUAUGAAAACCGCAAAAAUGCAAAUAAAAAUAUACAUAGUUAUAUGUAUGUAUGUAUAUUAUUGUAACUAUAUGGCAAUAAAAAAUUAUUGGUUGCGGAUCAACAUUUAUGUAAAUGAAGCGCGUUCCGAAUAACGCUUUGCAAGUUAUACGGCAGCUCAAGCGAAGUGGGGCCUGGAUGGAAAAAAAAAAUGAUAAAUGAAAAACUAUUUUUGAUACGCGUGAAAAUUUGGAAAGUGGCGAACCGAACAAGCAAUUGAUAUAAGCCAAUAAAAUAAAUGAAACUCUUUCGACAAAAGAUACAAACUCAAAUAUAUGCAAGCAUUCAAAGAGGGCUGAAAUAAAUAUGACACAGAUUAUCUUUAAGCCGUUUACUGUGAAAAUUGAAAUAAAAAAACCAGAAAAACGUUAACUCGGCUGCACCAAAAUUAAAAUAUCCUUUACAGCGCCUGCAUUCAAAUUGAUUUCUGUGAAUUUCUCCGCCUUUGCGAUAUUAACUGGACUCCUCACACCACUAACGCUCACAAUUAACUUCAUGGAAAAUUGGAAAUAUUUAUUUUUCUCUUGUCUCAAGCGUGUGCUAGUUAGUUAGCUGGUGUGUUUGUUGAGAAAAUCGUGAGUAGUUGUAAAAUUAAAUUUGCCAUUUCAUGUGUGAACAACAACGCCCAUUGGUCUACAGGACGUAUGAGUAAUAACAUUUUUAUAUUGCCGUUACAUCAUGUAUGUCAGUGAAAGGGAGUGGCUGGAUUGUCAUCAGCUGUUGCUGUUA
Molecule: non-coding RNA, 1072 nt
Organism: Bactrocera oleae (olive fruit fly)
Lineage: Eukaryota; Metazoa; Arthropoda; Insecta; Diptera; Tephritidae
Source: RefSeq, a predicted model, not a curated record